Non-coding RNA from Camellia sinensis, 850 nucleotides. The record is from RefSeq and is a predicted model, not a curated record. NCBI's taxonomy places the organism in Eukaryota, Viridiplantae, Streptophyta, Magnoliopsida, Ericales, Theaceae.
UAGAUAGAUAUGGAAAAUGAAGAAAUUGUUAUUAUUUUCAUGAAUAUGUAAAAAUAUUUUAAUUUGUUUUUGUGCCCUUGUCAUAUCGUGUUCAUUUUUUUUGGAAUAAAUUGUCAUGUGGGCAUGUCCGUGUUGUGCCGUGUCCAUGUCUAAUUCCCAUAUCUGGCUUCUUUGUCUGUUAGUGUAGUUCAACAGACCCUGCAACCUGUAUUCUUUUAAAUUUUGAAAUUGGGGCCUUUCAUGAGAGGCUUUAUUCUCAUGCAUUUUUUUAAACUCCGGAUCCAAUCCUCACUCAAACACAUCCUAAUUUGUUGAAAUUUGAACAGGCCCACUACAAAACCCAAUUAGAUCCUACCGUAGAAGAAGUGAAGAAACUUUGUACUACAUGUCGUAAAUAUGCCAAGUGGAAGAGCUCUGAUAAAUGUACCUUGAUUUUGACAGAAGGUGUUUCAGCGAAGGCAUUUGCGUAAUGUGGCAUCUGGGAAUGAAUUCCACAAGGAAGCAGUCAUGGACCAACUUUUCCCACAAAUAGGUGACAACAUCCAAUCAAUUAUGAUUAAGCUUUUGCAGAGUAAUGACAGCAGGUUACGCACAGCUUGUGUCUGGACUGUCGUAAAUCUCACCUUUCCAAGUAGUCCCGGUGCACACAGUCGGGUUGCAAAAUUACAGAAUGCCUGCAUAACUUCUCAAUUAAAGGAUAUGGUCAAUGAUCCUUGCCGCGAUGUAAAGAGGCAAAUGUCAGUGGUGCAGAUCGAGCACAGUGAGACGAUGGAGCGAGGGAAGCCGAAGCUGGGUGGCCUCAGCGACCCUCGGUUGGGUACUAUUGACCGAAAAAUGAAGUGUGAGACCU